This 1393-nucleotide long non-coding RNA is filed under the name Taeniopygia guttata (zebra finch). RNAcentral's name for it is "lncRNA (ENSTGUG00000022857.1)". Lineage: Eukaryota; Metazoa; Chordata; Aves; Passeriformes; Estrildidae. The record is from RNAcentral.
UUUUUUUUAUUUUCGUGGGGAAAUUUGGGAUUUUUGGGGUAAAUUUAGGAUUUUUUGGGGAUCCCGAAUUUUGGGGACCCCCUAAAUUUGGGGUGCAGGGUGAGGGGGAUGGGCGAGGUUGGAGGGGAAAUUUGGGUUAAUUUUGAGGAGAAAUUUGGGAUUUUUAUGGGAUUUUUCUUAUUUUCGUGGGGAAAUUUGGGAUUUUUGGGGUAAAUUUAGGAAUUUUUGGGGAUCCCGAAUUUUGGGGUCCCCCUAAAUUUGGGGUUCAGGGUACGUGAGGGGGAUGGGCGAGUCCGGGGGGAAAUUUGGGUUAAUUUUGAGGGGAAAUUUGGGAUUUUUAUGGGAUUUUUUUUUAUUUUUGGGGGGAAUUUUGGGAUUUUUGGGGUAAAUUUGGGAUUUUUUGGGGAUCCCGAAUUUUGGGGACCCCCAAAUUUGGGGUUCAGGGUACGUGAGGGGGAUGAACGAGCUCCUGGCCCCUCUCGCCGCCGUCUGCGCCGACGAGGCCGAAGCGUUUUGGGCCUUUUGCGCCGUCAUGGAGAUGGUGGGUGAGAAUUUCGGGCCGGGCCCGGAGGGGCUGCGCAGGAAUUUGGGGCUUUUGGGGGCGCUGCUGGAGCAGCUGAACCCCGACCUCGUCCCGCUGCUGGCCCAGCGGUGGCCGCGCCGUUGCUGCUCUCGGUGGCUCCAGUUCCGUUUCCAGCGGCUGCUGGGACAGGAGGGGACAGAGCGGCUCUGGGAGGUACCGGGGACAGCGGGGACAGCGGGGACAUUGGUGGGGACAUCAAUGGGGACACUGGGGACAGCGGGGACAUUGGGGACAUUGGGGACAUCAAUGGGGACAUUGGGGACAUUAAUGGGGACAUGGGGACACUGGGGAGAUUGGGGACAUUGGGGACAUCGGGGACAUCGGGGGGAUUUGGGGACAUUGGAGACAUUGGGGGACAUUGGGGACAUUGGGGAUAUUGGGGACAUUUGGGAACAUUUUGGGGACAUUUUGGGAGGUUUUUGGGACAUUGGGGACAUUUGGGACAUUACGGGGACAUUGGGGAUAUUGGGGACAUUGGGGGCAUUGGGGACAUUUGGGACACUUUGGGGACAUUUUGGGACAUUUUGGGAGAUUUGGGGACAUUUUGGGGCAUUGGGGACAUUGGGGACAUUUUGGGGAAUUUGGGACAUUGGGACAUCAAUGGGGACAUUUUGGGGUGUCUUUGGGGUGGUUUUGAGGGGAUUUGGGGACAUUUGGGGACAAUUUGGGGACAAUUUGGGGGGAUUGGGGACAUUGGGGACAUUGGAGACAUUUGGGGACAUUUUGGGUGGGUUUGGGGACCUUUUGGGGACAUUUUGGGGACAAUUUUGGGACAUUUGGGGACAUUUGGGACAUUCAGGGCAGCUUUGA